Long non-coding RNA from Manduca sexta (tobacco hornworm), 344 nucleotides. RefSeq lists it as uncharacterized. Lineage: Eukaryota; Metazoa; Arthropoda; Insecta; Lepidoptera; Sphingidae. The transcript is spliced from 2 exons. The record is from RefSeq and is a predicted model, not a curated record.
CGGCGGCACUAUGACCAAGUCCAGGGGAUUCUUCUUUUCACCAGCGGACACUGGUGUUACGCGGAAGAAGAAACACUACUUCCAGUAUCAGAAAUAGUUAAUUUAGUUUGUUUCACACUCAUCAUUUAUGUUAACCAGUUUUUGUACAUUGUUAGUUAUUUAAUUAUUUAUCUUUAAGCAUGGAAAUAGUCAUGUUUCCCAAUAUUUUUGACUAACCUGUGUUAUUAUUUAAUAUAUUAUCCAUAUUAGUGGUUAGGAAAUCGUACUAUCCGAAAUAAAUAAUAAUAAAAUAAAAAUCUAUUAUAAUCUUUUCGUUGUUGGGUCAGGGCCGCAUUUAGCGAUAA